AGCAUUUAAUACAAUGAUGUUUUCAUUCAAUUAAUGCAUUGUUUAACAUUUGUUUUUCCUUUGUUUUCACUUUUUGCUUUUCUGCAUGAAAUCAGUGAUCACAAAAAACCAUAAAAACAAAAAAAGAGGAGCAAACAUUUUUUCAUCUGCAUAAUGGUUUGCUUGUUUAAAUGCUAAAAUUUUUUCCUUAACCAAAAUCAUUAUGCAGAUUGAUCCUAAAACCCAUUGAACAUAAUGAUCCAACGCCAUCUCCCAAUUUUGAAUUCCCUGUAUUU
This 275-nucleotide long non-coding RNA is filed under the name Lathyrus oleraceus (garden pea). Its description in RNAcentral is "Pisum sativum (pea) long non-coding RNA (PSAT_LNC032965)". Lineage: Eukaryota; Viridiplantae; Streptophyta; Magnoliopsida; Fabales; Fabaceae. The record is from RNAcentral.